Molecule: long non-coding RNA, 436 nt
Organism: Panicum hallii
Lineage: Eukaryota; Viridiplantae; Streptophyta; Magnoliopsida; Poales; Poaceae
Exons: 3
Source: RefSeq, a predicted model, not a curated record
AACCAAUCAGUUCCUGUAGAAACCUCGCCAGGUGUACAGAGCUCUAGGCAAAGCAAUGACAUCAAUGACGCAAAUGACCAAGUUGAUGCCGAUUCAGAGGGUCAUACAAUUGAAGGAGAACCAGUUGGUGACUUUGUUCCUGCGCCCCGAAAGGAAGUCCGCAAGAAAACCAUAGGGCUUGGCUUAGAGAAGAUGAUAAAGAGAGGAAACAAGCUGCCUAUCCAAGUGGCUGAAGGGAAGAAAAGACCUGAUGUCCCACUUCAAGCAGCGAAGCUGGCAUCAGAAACUGGUGUAGCUCUUAGAGACAAGCUGCCUAUCUACACAUCUUGGAAGCUUUAUGAAAAAGAUGGGGGGCCAGUAGAAGUACAAAAAGUGCUUGAUAAAGUGGCGAAUAGGUUGGAUGUGGAUGUUAAGAAUGAUGGACCAAGCAAAUCUG